RNAcentral lists this non-coding RNA (29 nucleotides) under Homo sapiens (human). Lineage: Eukaryota; Metazoa; Chordata; Mammalia; Primates; Hominidae. The record is from RNAcentral.
UAGGAUCUGCUAGGACCCUGCAGCUGUGC